UCCAAAGCAGAAAUGCGCUAUGGGCGGGGCCUGCGUUCGAUUAGCUAGUUGGUGGGGUAAUGGCUCACCAAGGCGACGAUCGAUAGGUGGUCUGAGAGGACGAUCACCCAGACUGGGACUGAGAACGGGCCCAGACUCCUACGGGAGGCAGCAGUCGGGAAUUUUGCGCAAUGGGGGAAACCCUGACGCAGCAAUACCGCGUGUGGGAUGAAGGCCUUCGGGUCGUAAACCACUUUUUUCGGGGACGAUAAUGACGGUACCCGAAGAAUAAGCCACGGCUAACUACGUGCCAGCAGCCGCGGUAAUACGUAGGUGGCAAGCGUUGUCCGGAUUUACUGGGCGUAAAGCGCGCGCAGGCGGUGAAUGAAGUCGAAAGUGAAAGCCCCGGGCUCAACUCGGGAACUGCUUUCGAAACCAGUUCACUUGAAGGCGGAAGAGGGAAGUGGAAUUCCCGAGUGUAGUGGUGGAAUGCGUAGAUAUUCGGAAGAACACCAGAGGCGAAGGCGACUUCCUGGUCCGAUCUUGACGCUGAGGCGCGAAAGCUAGGGGAGCAAACGGGAUUAGAUACCCCGGUAGUCCUAGCUGUAAACGAUGGAUACUAGGUGGUGGAGGUUUA
RNAcentral lists this ribosomal RNA (616 nucleotides) under bacterium enrichment culture clone LiUU-12-5. Its description in RNAcentral is "bacterial SSU rRNA". It matches the Rfam family "Bacterial small subunit ribosomal RNA", at positions 200 to 833 of the family's 1533-position model. The record is from RNAcentral.